UUACGGCCACAUCAUGUUGAAAUACCGGUUCACUUACGACCACUGAAAUUACGCAACGUUGGGCCUUGUCAGUACUAAGAUAGGUGUCUGCCUGAGAAUACCAAGUACU
Molecule: non-coding RNA, 109 nt
Organism: Acanthosepion pharaonis
Lineage: Eukaryota; Metazoa; Mollusca; Cephalopoda; Sepiida; Sepiidae
Source: the annotation of a GenBank genome assembly